RNAcentral lists this ribosomal RNA (119 nucleotides) under Pteropus alecto (black flying fox). Lineage: Eukaryota; Metazoa; Chordata; Mammalia; Chiroptera; Pteropodidae. The record is from RNAcentral.
GUCUAUGGCCAUGCUACCCUGAACAAGCCCAAUCCUGUCUGAUCUCAAAAACUAAGCAGAGUUGGGCCUGGUUAGUACUUGGAUGGGAGACCACCUAGGAAGACCAGGUGCCGUAGGCA